GGCUCAGAUUGAACGCUGGCGGCAUGCCUUACACAUGCAAGUCGAACGGCAGCACGGGGCAACCUGGUGGCGAGUGGCGAACGGGUGAGUAAUGCAUCGGAACGUGCCAUUGAGUGGGGGAUAACGUGGCGAAAGUUGCGCUAAUACCGCAUAUUCUGUGAGCAGGAAAGCAGGGGACCGCAAGGCCUUGCGCUCUUUGAGCGGCCGAUGUCAGAUUAGCUAGUUGGUGAGGUAACGGCUUACCAAGGCGACGAUCUGUAGCGGGUCUGAGAGGAUGAUCCGCCACACUGGAACUGAGACACGGUCCAGACUCCUACGGGAGGCAGCAGUGGGGAAUUUUGGACAAUGGGCGCAAGCCUGAUCCAGCCAUGCCGCGUGAGUGAAGAAGGCCUUCGGGUUGUAAAGCUCUUUCGGCCGGGAAGAAAUCGCAUGGGUUAAUACCCUGUGUGGAUGACGGUACCGGAAUAAGAAGCACCGGCUAACUACGUG
RNAcentral lists this ribosomal RNA (489 nucleotides) under uncultured bacterium. Its description in RNAcentral is "bacterial SSU rRNA". It matches the Rfam family "Bacterial small subunit ribosomal RNA", at positions 21 to 507 of the family's 1533-position model. The record is from RNAcentral.